AAUCCCCCAUAUCGCCCAGGAACGAACGAAGCCUAGGUCUGGUCAGGUACAACACCAAGAUCAAGAACCAAAGUAUAAGAUAAGGUAGCGGAAGCGAAGCUGCAACAGAUCAACUAAACUCCACAAGCAUCGUAUGGGGAUCAGGCCCCAGGGUAUCUCCCCGGGUUCUCCCUCCUCGCGAGCAGUCUCGAGCGGCAUCUCCACAUCAUGUAAGUCUAAGAGAGGGUGAAAGUGCAACGGUGAGUACCAACCGUACUCAGCAAGUCACCACUAGGAUAAUGCAUAUAACGAAUAAAAGGAUACAAGAAGGGCUUGGUUCAUUUGCAUAAAUCUAGAUUUCACAAAUCACAAGGCAAGGCUGGCUGCUCCACUGCUCCGCUCGCCGCUGGCCGAUUCAGUGCAUCCCCAUCAUUGUCGGCCUCAACGUCCAGCGCCGCUGAGGAGGUGGAGAGAUGAUGCGAUCAGAUCGAGGCGACCAGCCGUAGGGGACCUCCAUCUCCCUCCGCCAGCUCCGCUUCUCACUUCUCGUCUCUCGCCUCCUCCUUAUUUGGUUCAUGUCUAGGUGGAGGUAGGUCACUCGAAGCAAGUUCUGAGGUACAUCAAGAAGCUCCCGGUGGUACAUCAAGCUUGAGGUCAACAUUGUUGUCGUUGUUAGCUCGGCGAUGGCAUGGUGAUUCGGAGAGUGGAAAUCUUGUUCUUGCCGGACUUUUUUUUGGUUGGAUUUUUUUUCCUGGUAUUUUUUCCUCUGCUCCUGAUUGUUCUAGAUGAGAUUGCUCAUUUAAGAAAAAAUCCCUCUCAAAAUUUGCAAUUUACAUUUAGAUCCUCUGGACGUUUUGUCACCGUUUGAUAUGUCAUCGGAUGGCUGCAAAUGAGUAGGAAUACAUGGCACACUUUUCCAGUCAAGAAUCCAGGCCGAGUUAUAAUCGUGUUGCCACGUGGCCCAAUCACAAGACGUGGCUGUAACCUAGAAAUCGGUAUAUAAGAUUUCACAAAUCUAAGACUUAGCAGCUUUAUCUAAAAACAUCAUUAAGUUAAAGUUGUAUUAAACAGUGAGGGUUCAUCCUCACAUCCAGAUCUAUACCAUUUACCAUAUUGAAAUACUAGUUCACGAACCUCUAUAGUCUCCCUUCGCUACCUGUUUCCACGUGUAGGCUCCUGAUGAGUCGCCAUUGGCGGUUAUGUGUGAUUCCCGAGCUUAACCGACUUCCAAACCGUCAUUACAACACUAUGUAAGGAGGAGAAACUCUCACUCUCAACACACACAACUCAAGAUGGCCAUGCCAUGAUGUCACAACUAGAUGGAAUUACACUUACUUAAUGCUGGAUUGUGCUUUAGAAUUUGAAGCUGCAUUUCUUGAGCUUAAGUUGCAAAUAUCAAUUUCAAGUAUAAUCCAUCAGAUGACGAGUGGAAAGCGGUUGAAAAUGUUUGCAGGUUCUUAAAGGUAUUCUAUGAUUCUACCAAUGUUGAAAUCUGGGUAAUCAAGUCAACAUUGGUAGAAGAUGCAAUCAUUCUAUGAGGACAUGAGGUUCAAUCAUUUUUGACGAUUUGAGGUUCUUAAAGGUAUUCUAUGAAAUCUGGGCAAUCAAGUCAACACUUGAUCAAAAUUACUCAAAUGAAGAAGAUGCGGGAAUUGUGAGAAUGGUGGAUGUUAUGAAGCGAAAGUUCCAAGAUUAUUGGAAUAUUUCAUGCUUAACUUUGUCUGUUCCUGUGAUUUUAGACCCAUGGUUUAAGUAUUCAUAUGUGAAAUUUCGCUUUGUGCAAGCUUUUGGAGAUGUGGCCAAUAAUAAGUUGAGCGAGGUCAAGAAGGCAAUCGAACAACUUUUCUCUGAUCAUUCACCAAAAGUGAACGACCAAAACAAUGAAUUGACUGGUGGAAGAACUGAUAUUGAAGCAGGCAUUUUGCAAGAGAAUGUGCGCCAUGUUGAUUGGGAUAAAUUCUUGAGCGAACAAGACUAUUGCUCCUAAUGAGCUUGAGCUAUACUAUAAAGAAGAUAUACUGCCUCGAGUUGAUGAUUUUGAUAUCUUAACUUGGUGGAAGGCAAACUCACUAAAAUAUCCUGUACUCUCACGCAUAGCACAUGAUGUGUUUGCCAUUCCAGCAUCAACGGUUCCAUCUGAAAAAUGCUUUUAACACAGGAGGGAGGGUAAUCAAUGACUACAGAAGUAGAUUGAAACAUGAGAUUGUUGAGGCUCUCAUUUGUCUAUAGGAUUGGAUGAGAGUUGAUUGCACUUCUCUUGAGAUGGUCUUAUCACAGGAAGAAGGCCAAGGAAUUCUUUCUGUGAAUGGAAUUGUUGAUCUGGAAGGACUCUCAGUUUUUGCAUUAGUAAUCAUGCUGUUUACCAAAAAUUGUUAUGUAAUGAGACUUUUACUGUUCAAUAGCUCUGUUUGUGCUCUAGAAUUUAUUAUGAAAACUGCUA
Molecule: non-coding RNA, 2419 nt
Organism: Oryza sativa Japonica Group (Japanese rice)
Lineage: Eukaryota; Viridiplantae; Streptophyta; Magnoliopsida; Poales; Poaceae
Source: RefSeq, a predicted model, not a curated record